Molecule: long non-coding RNA, 342 nt
Organism: Rosa chinensis
Lineage: Eukaryota; Viridiplantae; Streptophyta; Magnoliopsida; Rosales; Rosaceae
Exons: 2
Source: RefSeq, a predicted model, not a curated record
CAUUAACUCCAAAAACUGUGGAGGGACUCAUUUGCAUGCAAAGUUGGAUGUUAGGUGAUGAAAUCGCAGAGAUCCAAGAUGAUUGCACCAUUGAAAACAUAGAGUUUUAUGAAGCUGUUGAGCAUGAGCAUGAAAGCACUGCAUCUAGCAAAAAUGUGUGUCCUGCUCCAGUUCCAAGAGCUAAAGGGAAGGGAAAGUCUGUUGCAGCUGGUAAUGUAAUUGUUAUCUAAACUGUUUCAGUUUAGUUGUCUUCAAUUUUUAAUGUUGUCCCAACUUUAUGAGUUUAUGUAUUGAUUCUAUUGAAUAAUGAACUAUAAUGGAUGAAGUGUGAACAUUGUAGCA